CAACCGAGAUAGCUCAGUUGGGUAGAGCAUGAGUCUCUUAAUCUCAGGGUUUUGGGUUCAAAUCCCAUGUUGGUUGA
Molecule: non-coding RNA, 77 nt
Organism: Podarcis lilfordi (Lilford's wall lizard)
Lineage: Eukaryota; Metazoa; Chordata; Lepidosauria; Squamata; Lacertidae
Source: the annotation of a GenBank genome assembly